Molecule: non-coding RNA, 54 nt
Organism: Salmo salar (Atlantic salmon)
Lineage: Eukaryota; Metazoa; Chordata; Actinopteri; Salmoniformes; Salmonidae
Source: Rfam
UGCAUCCACUACUGUAAGUUGCUCUUGAUAAGAGUGUCUGCUAAAUGACUAAAA